Molecule: transfer RNA, 76 nt
Filed under: Escherichia coli
Lineage: Bacteria; Pseudomonadati; Pseudomonadota; Gammaproteobacteria; Enterobacterales; Enterobacteriaceae
Also listed under: 5 other names
Description: tRNA-Asn(gtt)
Rfam family: tRNA
About the family: Transfer RNA (tRNA) molecules are approximately 80 nucleotides in length.
Source: RNAcentral
UCCUCUGUAGUUCAGUCGGUAGAACGGCGGACUGUUAAUCCGUAUGUCACUGGUUCGAGUCCAGUCAGAGGAACCA